GAGAAGACCCGAGGCCUCUGCUACGAACACUGGCAGCCGAUGGAAAAUUCAGACGGAUUUGGGACAGUAUGCAGAGUUCUCCAAGCGACAGAUUAACAGAGGCUCUUGAAGAAUAACUGCGUAAUCACGUGUUCUGCUCAAAAGAAGGCCUGAAUGCCCAGUGCCUUAUUUGGCUUUCAGGACAGGGUCUUGCGGUGUCACCCAGGCUAGAGUACAGUGGUGCAAUCAUAGCUCACUGCUGCCUCAAACUCCUAGACUCAAGCAAUCCUCCUGCUUCAGCCUCCCGAGUAGCUGGGACUACAGGUAGAUGAUGGGCUCCACGGGAACAGAGCAAACGUUCGCUCCUGCUCCUACACGGUGUUUCCUCUAAACCUGAGGCUCAGCCGACUUGUCAUCACUUAAAACCCAAUUCAGAGCGGGGGGGCACUGCCAGUGAAUAGUUCAUCACCGACUCAGUUUCCCCAUGUGUAUGCUGUGGUAUUGGAUCAGCAACGAGAUAAGAAGAUCUCUCCCAUUUCCAAGCGUCUAUGAUGAUUCUGAGGCACAAGGUCACAUUUGACAGUACUAGGAAACCCAGGAAACAAGAAGCAAAGAUGACAAAGGCUGUGUCUGCCUGGGCAGACGAUCUAUUUGGACAAGAUAAUAGACCCAGGCAUGGACAUGCUCUCCAAGAAAGAUGCCCUGACAGCUGCUCACACUGAAGCUGAAUCGAACAUUCCAAUCCUUAGAGGUUCCAGCGAAGAUCUUGAAGUCUCCCUGAGCCAUUGACACAAUGGCCAUGCCAUCCCAGUGAUAAAACACAAAUUGUGGCCUUGUUUUGGACAGAAAUAAAGAGCCCAGUUUGUUAGUGAUUUACUGAUAAUAACUGAAUCGAGUACUAAUACUUGGCGAUUUUAAAAGCCAUCAUGUUAAAAAGACCACCUGAUUCCCAGUGACCCUGCAGUGACUGGGUUUGGGCAGCUCGUCCCCUGCACCUGUUUGGGGCUGUGCCAGCCACUUCCAGUGAGAACAUCGCAUUAACUUGCGGUCGCAGACCUGGCUGGACCCCUUGAACCAAAUUCCUUUCUGACCUUAUCAGACCCCAAAUAAAAGAGCUCACCAGGCCCCUCAGCCUACGUGACCCACCUGCCCAGUGAAAAAAGUAGGGCCCUGUUCUGUUCUCUGAGGAUGGUCAGUGUGCUCUUUGAUGAAAACGGUUUCUAAGCUGAGGCCUGAGACCUAGAUCAUUGUUCUCACAGCGUGUGCUUGACCAGCCACACCAGAAGCACCCAGGCUGCUGGCUAAAAACACUGAUGCUGGGGCCCACCCUAGCCCCUGGGUAGGGGGUAGAGACCUAAGGUUUGGCAUUUUUACAAGCUCCUAGGGUGAUUCUUAGAUGCCCUGAUGAUUGAGAACCACUGCUCGAGCUUCUUAAAUGGCUGCUGAAGAAUGAUU
Homo sapiens (human) is the source of this 1434-nucleotide long non-coding RNA. RefSeq annotates it as TMEM44 antisense RNA 1. NCBI's taxonomy places the organism in Eukaryota, Metazoa, Chordata, Mammalia, Primates, Hominidae. The record is from RefSeq and is marked validated.